Non-coding RNA from Sus scrofa (pig), 3904 nucleotides. Lineage: Eukaryota; Metazoa; Chordata; Mammalia; Artiodactyla; Suidae. The record is from RefSeq and is a predicted model, not a curated record.
UUGUGUCCUUGUGCUACUCUUAUUUCCCUUUUGGAUGUACUUCACAGAGAGAAAACACCUGAGUGGUUUGACUGAUGCCUCUAGAUGAUGGGCUUCAUUAUUUUAUUAGAGGAGGCAUAAGAGAAGAGAGAUGUCCUGUGUAUGCUAAGAAACUUAGAAUUGUCUGUUGGAGAUUAAUCCAGGGGAAAAGGCAAGAAAAACAAUUUUAAUCUAUAUAGGAGGCAACAGAGAAGUUUCUGGGAUUCCAUUUUUCACACCUUACAUCAUAACGAAUAAAUUAUCCAAGAUCAUGUCAGCUGCCCUUCUAAUCACCAUGCUAAAUUUGUUUUAUCAAGUUGCCUCUGAGAAGCCCAGAGAAAAUGAAAAUCGUUCUGACAAAAAUAUAAUAAUAAUAGUGCUUGGAAUCAUUGCUGCAAUAAUGACACUUUUAUUUUUUGUUUUUUGCAUACUUUAUUUCAAAACAAGAGCAUGUUUAAACUGAACAUUUGUUUAUAAUCAGUCUAUUUAUGGACUUAUUCUGAAGUAAAAACAACAGGUAUAUUUUUGUGGCUAAAGUUGUUACUGCUGAGAAGACAGAAACCAGGAAGCUGUGAUGAUGUGAUGCAAAGAUUAUCCUAAACUCAAAAAAUGUCACCUGGUCAUCAAUGACCUCUGCCUCUAGGUUCUCUCCAUGGACAUUCAGAUGCUAUAUGUCAAUCAUGCAGUGAUUGCCUUUUUGUAGCUGACAAGUCACUUGACAUAAUAUCCUCAAGGUUUAUCCACAUUGUCACAUAUUGCAGAAUUUCCUUCUUCUUAAUGCUGAACAAUAUUAUAUGGUAUGUAUAAACCUCUUUAUUCUUUCAUCUUUAGUGGGCAUUUAGGUUGUUUCCACAUCUCAGGUAAUGUGAAUAAUGUUGCAGUGAACAUGGGAGUAGUAAUACCUAUUUAUAAUCCUGCUUUCAAUUCUUUUGGAUAAAUAUCACAAGUGAGACUGUUGGAUCAUAUGGUAGUCUCUUUUUAUUUCUUGAGAAACCUCCAUUGGAUAAAGGAGGCACCAUUUGGUAUUCUCACCAAUGGUGUAAAAGAAUUAAAUUUCUGUAUACCUUUAGUAACACCUGUUAUCUUUAUUCAAUAUACUUAUCCUGACAAUUGUGAAAUAAUAUUACAUGGUGCUUUUCAUUCACAUUUCGCUGAUGGUCAGUGAUGUUGAGCACAUUUUCAUAUACUUUUUGCCAUUUGCAUAUUUUCUUUGGAGAAAUGUCUAUUCAAGUCCAUAGACCAUUUUUAAUUGGGUUAUGAGGGUUUUUCUCUUUUUCUUUGUCAAUGAAUUAGACAAGUUCCUUAUAUAUCUUUGAGGUUAAUAUAUUAUUAGAUAUAUGAUUUGAAAAUAUUCAUUCAAAUUCCAUAGGUGACCUUUUCAUUUUUGAUUGUUUCCCUUGCUAUGCAGAAGAUUUUUAGUUUUAUGUAACCCUUAAAUUUGUUUUUUUUCUUUGCUCUUUAUUUUUGCCAGUGCUUUUGCUGUUAAGAAAUUAUUACCCAAGAAAGUAUUCUCAAAAUUAAUAUCAUGAAGCUUUGGCCUUAAGUGUUUUUCUAGCACUUUUAUACUUUGGGGUCUUAUUUUUGAGUCUUUCUUCCAUUUUGGGUAUAUUUGACUGUAUGGUAUAAGAUAAGGGUCAAUUUCAUUCUUUUGAAUGUGAAUAUUCAGUUUUCCCGACAAAGUUUGUUGAAAAGUGUAUUCCUUCUUCAUUGUGCAUUCUUGACACCCUUAACAAAGAUCAGUUGAUCACAUAUGUGUAUAUUUUGAAAGGGGGAAUCUCUAUUCUGUCCAUAGGUUUACAUGUCUAUCUUUAUGCCAGUACAGUACUGUUUGAUUAGUGUGCAUUUAUAUUAUAUUUUGGAAUCAGAAAAGGUGAUGUUUCCAGCUGCAUUCUUUCUCAAAAUUGAUUAGCCAUUUAUGGUCUUCUAUAAUUCCAUACAAAUAUUAGUUUUUUUUCUAUUUCUGUGAAGAAAUGCUGUUGGGAGUUUGGUAGGGAAUAUAUUGAAUAGGCAGAUUGCUGUGCAUAACAUAGACAUUUUAACAAUACUGAGUUUUUAAAUCGAUGAACAUGGGAUAACAUUCCAUUUGCUGGUCUUCCUUAAUUUCUGUCAUCAAUGUUUUGUAGUUGUCGGUAUGCAAGUCUUUCACUCUUAGGUUUAUUCCUAAAUAUUAUAGUCUUUUCAGUAUUAUUGUAUGAGAAAUUACUUUUCUAAUUUCCUUUUCAAAGGAUAUCAAUGUUGACUUUAUAUCCUGCUACUUGACUGAAAUCAUUUGUUUGUUCUAAAUUUUUUGUGUGAAAUCUUUAGAGCUUUAUAUAUUUAAGAUCAUGCCUUCUGUGAACAGAGAUAAUAUUACUUCUUCCUUUCCUGUUGGAUGUUUUCUUUUCAUUUAUUUCUUUACUUUGACUGACUGCUUUAGCUAGGACUUGCAGUAUUAUGUAGAACAGAGGUGGUGAGAGUAGGCAUGCUUGCCUUGUUCCUGAUCUUCAGAAAAAGGCUUUAGCUUUUUUAUCAUUGAGAUGAUGUUAGUUGUGGGCUUUUCAUAUAUGGCUUUUAUAAUGUUGAGGUAAAUUCCCUUCAAUAACCAGUUUGUUAAGAGGGUGAAAAGGUAUUCAGUUUUGUCCAAUGCUUUAUCUGCAUCUAUUGAGAUAACCAUAUGAUGGUCAUACUUUAUUUUGUUAAUGUGGUCUGUUAUAUUAAUUGAUUUUGGUGUGUUGAACCAUCCUUGUAUGCUGGGGAUAAAUUCCCCUUGUUUUUUUUUUCCCCAUGGCCUGUGAUCAUUUUAAUGUUUUCAAUGUGUUGUUGGAUUUAACUUUCAAGUAUUUUGUUGAGUUUUGCAUAUAUAUUUAUCAAGGAUAUUGACCUAGUGAUUUAUUCUUUUGUGCUUUUGUCUGUUUUGGAAUCAAGGUAAUUCUGGCCUCAUAAGGUGAUUUUGAAAGGGUCUUAUCCUCUUAUUUUUUGAAAAAGUUUGGCAUUAACUUUUCUUAAAUGAUUCAUAGUCAAAUACAAAAAAAAUAGAAAGAAGUAAGAGAAGAGAGAUUCAUCACAUACAAGAGCACCCUCAUAAGGGUAUCAGUGGAUUUAUCAGAAGAAAUCUUACAGCUAAGGAGAGACUAGGAUGAUAUACUCAUAGCACUGAAGGAAAAAUAACAGCCAACCAAGAAUACUAUAUUUGGCAAAACUAUACUUAAAAAUGAAGGAAAAAGAAAUAAUUUUAAAACCAAAAAAAAAAAAAAGCUGAAAUACUCGUCACCACUAAACCUGCUUUACAAGGAAAAUUAAAUGAAGUUUUUCAAGUUGAAAUGAAAGGAUGUUGUUAGUAACAUAACAACAUUUGAAAAUAUUAAAUUCACUGGUAAAUACGUAUAGAUAGUCAAAUUCAAAAUGCCUUAACACUGUAAUGGUAGUUCAUAAACUACUUUUAACUUUAGGGGAAAAAAUUAAAAAAACAAAACUAUUAAAAAUAACCAAAGGUGUAAUAAUUUGUUAAUGGAUACACAAGAAAAAAGAGGUAAAUUGUAAAGCAAUGUAAAAUAGAAGUAAAAGUGCAGAGUUUUUAAUGCAAUUGAAGUUAAGUUGUUAUAGCUUAAAAUUGACUGUUUUAACUAUAAGGUGUUUUAGGUAAGCUUCUUUGUAACCACAAAACAAAAAAAAUGUUGUAGUGGAUACAAACCACAUAAUAAGAAUAUAAUCAAAACAUACCACUACAGGAAACUAUCAAAUCACAAAGGAAGACAUCGAGAGAGGAAGAAAAGAACUACAAACAUUACCAAAAUAAUUUUUACAUCACAAUAGAAGGUUCUUAUCUGUAAUAGUUACUUUAAAUAUUAAUGGAUUAAAUUCCCCAAUCAAAAGACAGACUGGCUGAAUGGAUAAAAGGAAAAAAAAA